Molecule: long non-coding RNA, 565 nt
Filed under: Carica papaya (papaya)
Lineage: Eukaryota; Viridiplantae; Streptophyta; Magnoliopsida; Brassicales; Caricaceae
Description: long non-coding RNA (CPAP_LNC008033)
Source: RNAcentral
AAGAGGUCUCUUAAAUUAGAGAACAGCAAGGCCAGAGAAAUUCUAUCAUAAAAAGGUCAUGGAAGCAACUUAAAAGCUAAUACAUAAGCCCUUUGAAAAAAAAAAAAUCAUUCAAACAUUCUGUAUGAUUCCCUCAAGAGUUGAAUCAUAUCAAGUUAAACACCCUUUGAACUUCAGAAGCUUCACAAACAUUGGAGUUGAAAUAUGCACUAGACAGCACCAGUUUAAACAGAGAUUAAGCAAAGAGAAAAUUAAAGAUUAUGGAAUGUAUAUAGCUCCUAGAAAAUGAAAUUCACUUUUUAAUGAAAGUUAAGAGGGGGUAAGUAAGACAACAAAGACUAUGAAAUUCACAUUUUGUAAAGUUAAGAGGAGGUAAGUAAGACAACAAAGACUAUGAAAUUCACAUUUUGUAAAGUUAAGAGCGUGUAGGUAAGACAACAAAGAUUGUGGGAAGGGACAAGGAAACCACAUCAAGUGAAAGUUCAUACAGGUGAGACAAAUAGACUACAAAGAACAUGGAUCCUAAAAAAAUUAAAAUAACUUUUAAGGAAUAAAGAGCAGGUAU